UCCCGUGUGGCUCAGUUGGUAGAGCAUGGUGUUUGCAAUGCUAAGGUUUUGGGUUCGAUUCCCACAGGGGAC
Molecule: non-coding RNA, 72 nt
Organism: Salmo salar (Atlantic salmon)
Lineage: Eukaryota; Metazoa; Chordata; Actinopteri; Salmoniformes; Salmonidae
Source: Rfam